UAGGGAAUCUUCCGCAAUGGACGCAAGUCUGACGGAGCAACGCCGCGUGAGUGAAGAAGGAUUUCGGUUCGUAAAACUCUGUUGUUAGAGAAGAACAGCGCAUAGAGUAACUGUUAUGCGUGUGACGGUAUCUAACCAGAAAGCCACGGCUAACUACGUGCCAGCAGCCGCGGUAAUACGUAGGUGGCAAGCGUUGUCCGGAUUUAUUGGGCGUAAAGCGAGCGCAGGCGGUCAAUUAAGUCUGAUGUGAAAGCCCCCGGCUCAACCGGGGAGGGUCAUUGGAAACUGGUUGACUUGAGUGCAGAAGAGGGGAGUGGAAUUCCAUGUGUAGCGGUGAAAUGCGUAGAUAUAUGGAGGAACACCAGUGGCGAAGGCGACUCUCUGGUCUGUAACUGACGCUGAGGCUCGAAAGCGUGAGUAGCAAACAGG
This 429-nucleotide ribosomal RNA is filed under the name Bacteroidota bacterium. RNAcentral's name for it is "Bacteroidetes bacterium partial 16S ribosomal RNA". It matches the Rfam family "Bacterial small subunit ribosomal RNA", at positions 355 to 776 of the family's 1533-position model. Lineage: Bacteria; Pseudomonadati; Bacteroidota. The record is from RNAcentral.